RNAcentral lists this transfer RNA (72 nucleotides) under bacterium. RNAcentral's name for it is "tRNA-Met". It matches the Rfam family "tRNA". Rfam says of the family: Transfer RNA (tRNA) molecules are approximately 80 nucleotides in length. Their secondary structure includes four short double-helical elements and three loops (D, anti-codon, and T loops). The record is from RNAcentral.
GGCGGGGUAGCUCAGUGGUAGAGCAAUCGGAUCAUAACCGAUUUGUCGUGGGUUCGAUCCCCACCCCCGCUA